UACGUAGGGGGCAAGCGUUGUCCGGAUUUAUUGGGCGUAAAGAGCGUGUAGGCGGUUCGGUAGGUCCGUUGUGAAAACUCGAGGCUCAACCUCGAGACGCCGAUGGAAACCCCCGAACUAGAGUCCGGAAGAGGAGAGUGGAAUUCCUGGUGUAGCGGUGAAAUGCGCAGAUAUCAGGAGGAACACCGGUGGCGAAGGCGGAUCUCUGGGCCAUAACUGACGCUGAGGAGCGAAAGCAUGGGGAGCGAACAGG
Molecule: ribosomal RNA, 253 nt
Filed under: uncultured bacterium
Lineage: Bacteria
Description: partial 16S ribosomal RNA
Rfam family: Bacterial small subunit ribosomal RNA
Source: RNAcentral